This 73-nucleotide transfer RNA is filed under the name Camelus bactrianus (Bactrian camel). It matches the Rfam family "tRNA". Rfam says of the family: Transfer RNA (tRNA) molecules are approximately 80 nucleotides in length. RNAcentral also lists the same sequence under 1 other name. The record is from Rfam by way of RNAcentral. Lineage: Eukaryota; Metazoa; Chordata; Mammalia; Artiodactyla; Camelidae.
GAGGGGGUAGCUCAGUGGUGGAGUGUGUGCUUAACAUGCAUGAGAUCCUGGGUUCAAUUCCCUAGCACCUCCA